This is a long non-coding RNA of Fukomys damarensis (Damara mole-rat), 457 nucleotides long. RefSeq lists it as uncharacterized. The record is from RefSeq and is a predicted model, not a curated record. NCBI's taxonomy places the organism in Eukaryota, Metazoa, Chordata, Mammalia, Rodentia, Bathyergidae. The transcript has 3 exons.
GCGCACACCUUGAUUCCGCCGCCAUUCUGGUCGGCUGCAGCGUGGGAAAAAGCAGGAAACGCGUGCGCAGCGAGGCUUCAGAGAUUCCUGUGUUGUCCCUCCACCCCUUGGAAGAUGACAAAACCAGACAUCAUGUUCUCUUGCCUUCAGUUCGUCAGGCUAUUGAUGGGUACCUGCUCCUACCGUGGUUAUACAUGCCUAUAGUCCCUGCUACUAUAACUAAGGUUGAAAAGAAAAAGGAAGAGUUUCUUGCUACUGUCACAAAACCAGCCGGUGAUGACAAGAAUGGUGAUACUUGGAUGGUUGAGCUUUGCAAAAUGCCUAGAUACUGUUGAAGAUGUACCACAAAAACUUUUGAGAUGGGGAAAAACAAAACAAAACCCACAAAAAAACCCUUCAGUCAGCACGUGAGAUCAUGGAUCAAACUCGGGACCUUCCACUUGUGAGGCAGGCGGCG